RNAcentral lists this long non-coding RNA (3391 nucleotides) under Gossypium raimondii (Peruvian cotton). RNAcentral's name for it is "long non-coding RNA (GRAI_LNC009156)". Lineage: Eukaryota; Viridiplantae; Streptophyta; Magnoliopsida; Malvales; Malvaceae. The record is from RNAcentral.
GGUGAAUGGGACUCAAAAGUAUAUUGUGCAGUAAGCACUAAGCAGUUAUAUAUGUAGCCCUUAAUCCCUUAAAAAAAAUCACUAUGUACCCCUUAUCAGAUCAAAGCUGCCAAACAUCGGCUUCCACCCAAAAUGGGGUGUAAGAUGAUCCCUGUGCUGUCAAUACUUGUUCUACUGUUAUCACUUUCGCUACUCUUACCUCUAUCUUCAACCGCAAACACGCACUUAAUUGGUAAGCACACCUAAAACCUUCGUAAUUACUUAUAUAUACAUAUAUGUCUUUGGUUUAUUUUUCAGUGACUUGUUUUUAAUGUUGGGGUUCUACUUUAGGAAAGAAGAUGAAGCAAGAGAUUCGGAGAAAUCUGAUAGGUGUACACCCAGGAAGAGGAGGUCAUCCAGGAGGUGGUGCACCCGGCCAUGAUAGCGGGAAGGAAAACUUUACUCCCGCCACCAAAACCCAGGGCCAUAAUUAAUGCUCAGUAGACCGUGUUUGUAUUUCUACUUUUGUAUUUCAUGUCAAAAUCAACUCUCAUAAGGAAAACGAAGUUCGAACCUUAAAAUAAUAUUUUACACGCAUUAAAAUAUAAUAUUAAAAUAUAAUGAUUUUGAGUUGCGUAAAUAUUUUCAAAGGUUUUUAUACAUCUUCCAUAUACAAUAGAAAAGUUUUUUAUAUAGACAUCCAAUAGGUGUAUCUUUCUAUGAGAUAGUCUUUCAUAAGGGAUAUAUCUUUUAAUAAGAUGUCCUUUUAUAAGAUUGUGUUGUUUUACAAAAUAACUUUACAUAAAGCUAUAUUUUUAUAAGAUAACUUUACGUAUAAAAUAUACGUCUUUACAACACAACUAUUUAAUCAAUAAUUAUAAUUUAUUAGACUUUUCUACAUAAUAAAAUAUUAUUACUACCAACAUUAUAAACUACUAACAACCCCUCUAUUUUAAAAUGCUAGUAACUUACUUUAUAAUCUUUCACACAAACAAAUAUUAUGUAUACAAUAUGAUAUCUCUUGAUUUGAACCAUCAAUUAGUGGAUAUAUUUUGGAUUUCUAAUGAGGUUGAAAGAGUUCGAAGAUUGAACCAUAACUCUUAGUAUUAGGAGAGAAAAUACACCACACAUAAUAUGUAAACUCAUCCUCUAUAUGCAGUGGACCGCACUAGUUUCUAUUAAACUUGUUUUAAAAUGAGUUUUAUUAAUGCAUCACAGAUAAAUAACAAUAACUUGUUUUUACCCAUUAAACUUUAAAAUUAGAGGUUAUGAAUUAAAGGUUGGUUUCCUAUUAUCAGUGUUUAAUAAUAGGGUCGAAACUCAUUCUAAUUGUAAUACUACUAAACAAAGAAAAUUCUUUUCUCACAUUCACUAUCAUAAAUUAGAGAUUGAAUCUCUAGUAUAAAAUCAGUUCAUAGGUUAACAUGACCAAAUUAUUUUUUAACAUGUUUUUGGACAUCAUUUCCUUUUUUUUAGGAAGUAGAUGGCAUCAGUUGUAACCACAACUUUAAUUCUCAUUAAUACAAUUUUUUUACCAUUUUAUUUACAUAACUUUAAUCCAACUUUAAGUUGGGUAAAUGAAUAAAGAAUCCAAUUACUUUAAUUCUUCAAUAUUAAGAGUCAAAAUGACUUUUCUUUAGCAAGAUAGCUAAACUUAUUAGCUUGUAUAAUUUCACAAUGUGCAAUUAUACUAAAUAUUACGAUACUAUGGUGAUAUAUAUUAUUUCUUUAAUUUAUCCUUAAUAUAUAUGAAACCAACAUGUGCAAAAUGUACACUCUUUUACUAAAGAAUAUUUAAUUCAACAUUUAACGCACUCAUAGUGUGCAAAAUGUACGCUCUUUUACUAAAGAAUGUUUAAUUCAACAUUCAAGAUACCAUAUAUAUAUAAUAAUAUACUCAUUCAUCUUUUUACUAUUUAGUGAAUUCUUAAAUAUUAUUGUUCACAUAACUAUGAGACCUUCAACUAUCCAUCCUUAGUAAAAUAUCUCUGACACAACUCAUAUGAGAGAGCACAAAAGUAAGUAUAUAUAUCAAAUAUAAUCAUUCUCAAAACAAAAUGUUUAAUUUCAUGACAUUUUUGUGUUUUUCAAAAUAUAAUGUAAAUCUAUGCUUUUGAACUUAUUAGUCUUUCACAUUGACUAAUUUUUCUUUGUUGGUAUUCAAGUUUGCAUUAUUGAUCAAUCCUUCUAUAUAUAGAGUAUUGUAACACAAUUAUCAUGUAACGCCCCAAAAAUCCAAGUAAUUAUUUUUGUAUUUUUGUUACACAAUUGUGUAUCUAUUUCAGUGGUUAUAUGUUUUGGGAGUGUCUAAGAAGUCUUGGGUUCAAGCCUUGGCUUGGGCAAAAGUUUUGUUUUUAAUUGAAUAAACCCUUAUCCCUAGUCAGUAGACUUAAAAAUAAAUGUUGAUAAAAUAUGUUUGAAUAGGCUUAUUGGUCUAGUGGUUAAGUGGAGUGUUGGUUAUGUUUGAGAUCCUAAGUUCAAAUCCUUGCGCAAAUAAGGCAUUUAUUUUGCUGCUUGUGUCAUGUGAGAGUUUGAGAUUGACUAAAAUUCUGAGUAGUGGGAAAGAUGGAGUGAUUUUAGGAGGAAAUUAUGGGAUGUGGGAAGUUAUCUCGAUUUGGGGAGAAAAGUAAAGUGUUUGAGGGGUGUGGGGAAGUGUGGGAGCGAAUGUAGGGAUAGGAGGAGUUAAUUAAGGAAUUUUAAAGGUUAUCAGAAAAUCUGAUAGAGUUGUAUUUUGGUUUCUUACCAAAACUGUUUAUUUAUCUACCUUUCUAACGUAUUCCUUUUCUUUUCCCCUCUUACCGAAUUUUUCCAUUGGUUCCUCCCUCUCUCUUUUCCUUUGUCGAAAUAUGUCUCUCUUCUACCCUACUCCUUUCCUUUGUUUUCCUUUCUUAUUCCUUUUCCGCUGUGCCUCGGUUGUUUUUCCUAUGAUUGGUAAGAUUGUGUAUUAAUGGAAUUCUAUCGUUGUUUAUGGCUAAGUGGGUAAUAAGGGAUUUGUUUGGUGUUAGGGAGUAUACAAGGGGCAGAAGUUUCGCUAUCAAGGCUGCAAGUGUGCGAUAUUCUCGUCGCUUCAUUGAAGGUAAGGAGUUUUAAUGGUUAAAAGUUGGGAAAUCUCGUUAAGUUUUUUAUUGAAGGUUUAACGAAAAGGUUUUGUGACUCUCGUUUUAGGUUGAGACCAAGGGUCGGUUGGUGCAUCUUCAAGAAUCUGAGGGUUGUGUUUUCAAUUGAUUUCGGGAAGCGGGUUUCGAUUGUUGAUCGAUUCUUUACUUCAUUAGGCUUUGAUUGAAUAACGAAUUAAGUAGUUGACUAAUGUCGUUUUGGUUGAAUCUAGGUUUUUGGAGUGCUCGAAGUGCAGUUUAAUUACUAAUAGAAUUAGGUGUGUAAACACUGCCCAAACCAUAAACCGGUAAAAGCC